UCGAUCCAAAACCCACAAGUAAUCAUAAUAUAGUCAAAACAAAGUAAGAACAAAAAUCUAACACAAAGAUUGUUCACCCAAUUUAGCCAAAAAAUAGUCUAAUCUGGGGGGAUCAGAGGUAAGCCCGUCACUAGUAAGAAGCCUUCAGAAGAGUGUACAACCAGUUGAGAAAAACCAAAUCAAACCCACUAAAUGGUCAUCGAUCCACCAGGAUCUCUCAAUAAACCGAACCUAGCCCAUAAGACUAGACAAAAUCUUGCCAAGAACACAAAACAGGUUUACCAGCCACAAUUCAGGCCUAAAACACUGUAACAAUGUUUUACCAUCAUUAGUUAACUACAAAAUUAUUACAAAAAACACAAAAGUUCUCCAGAUCCAAGAAGAAAAGAAGAAGCAGAGGCAGAGAGAGAGAGAAAACCCAGGAGACAAUUUCAUCCAAAAUAGACCGACUGAUUGAUUUCCACCAACCCUCAAAAGUCUUCAAGGCAUUAAUUAUGGAAAAAUAAACCUCAGCCGUAGGAUUAGAUCAAUGGUCCACAAUAGCCAAAAGUGCCAACUGUUGAUAGGAAUACAACUGGGAAAAAUUGCAUUUUGACUUAUGAAAGUGUGGUUUCAGAAACACAAUUCUAUAAAUCUUCACCUUGGUUCUUAAACCGUGCACUUCCUCUCUUAUUGCUAUAAUGCUAGUGACAGAAUCAUACCCUACAUCAUCGCCUAAGUACCUGCACAAAAUAUCAACCUGUAUCAAUAUUAAGCAAUGAUAAACAACAUCUGAAUUUAUUAACAGACAAUAUUUUAGUCCCCAUAUUCACUCCUUCUAAAAUCAAUUUUCAAAACGUAUGUGUCAAACUUUAUAUACCACUGUCUUGGACUUUGUUUGAGUCCAUAUAGAGAUUUUUGCAAUUUGCAAACAAAAUCAGAUUUUCCCCUUUCUUUGAAACCUUGAGGUUGACA
RNAcentral lists this long non-coding RNA (954 nucleotides) under Olea europaea subsp. europaea. Lineage: Eukaryota; Viridiplantae; Streptophyta; Magnoliopsida; Lamiales; Oleaceae. The record is from RNAcentral.